This 433-nucleotide ribosomal RNA is filed under the name uncultured bacterium. RNAcentral's name for it is "partial 16S ribosomal RNA". It matches the Rfam family "Bacterial small subunit ribosomal RNA", at positions 29 to 507 of the family's 1533-position model. The record is from RNAcentral.
AACGAACGCUGGCGGCAGGCCUAACACAUGCUAGUCGAGCGAGGACUUCGGUCCUAGCGGCGGACGGGUGAGUAACGCGUGGGAACGUGCCCUUUGCUUCGGAAUAGCCCUGGGAAACUGGGAGUAAUACCGGAUGAGCCCUUUGGGGGAAAGAUUUAUCGGCGAAGGAUCGGCCCGCGUUGGAUUAGGUAGUUGGUGGGGUAAUGGCCUACCAAGCCGACGAUCCAUAGCUGGUUUGAGAGGAUGAUCAGCCACACUGGGACUGAGACACGGCCCAGACUCCUACGGGAGGCAGCAGUGGGGAAUCUUAGACAAUGGGGGAAACCCUGAUCUAGCCAUGCCGCGUGAGCGAUGAAGGCCUUAGGGUUGUAAAGCUCUUUCAGCUGGGAAGAUAAUGACGGUACCAGCAGAAGAAGCCCCGGCUAACUCCGUG